AGACCCGAAACCCGGUGAUCUAGCCAUGGGCAGGUUGAAGGUUGGGUAACACUAACUGGAGGACCGAACCGACUAAUGUUGAAAAAUUAGCGGAUGACCUGUGGCUGGGGGUGAAAGGCCAAUCAAACCGGGAGAUAGCUGGUUCUCCCCGAAAGCUAUUUAGGUAGCGCCUCGUGAAUUCAUCUCCGGGGGUAGAGCACUGUUUCGGCUAGGGGGCCAUCCCGGCUUACCAACCCGAUGCAAACUGCGAAUACCGGAGAAUGUUAUCACGGGAGACACACGGCGGGUGCUAACGUCCGUCGUGAAGAGGGAAACAACCCAGACCGCCAGCUAAGGUCCCAAAGUCAUGGUUAAGUGGGAAACGAUGUGGGAAGGCCCAGACAGCCAGGAUGUUGGCUUAGAAGCAGCCAUCAUUUAAAGAAAGCGUAAUAGCUCACUGGUCGAGUCGGCCUGCGCGGAAGAUGUAACGGGGCUAAACCAUGCACCGAAGCUGCGGCAGCGACGCUGAUGCGUUGUUGGGUAGGGGAGCGUUCUGUAAGCCGUUGAAGGUGGCCUGUGAGGGUUGCUGGAGGUAUCAGAAGUGCGAAUGCUGACAUAAGUAACGAUAAAGCGGGUGAAAAGCCCGCUCGCCGGAAGACCAAGGGUUCCUGUCCAACGUUAAUCGGGGCAGGGUGAGUCGACCCCUAAGGCGAGGCCGAAAGGCGUAGUCGAUGGGAAACGGGUUAAUAUUCCCGUACUUGGUGUUACUGCGAAGGGGGGACGGAGAAGGCUAUGUUGGCCGGGCGACGGUUGUCCCGGUUUAAGCGUGUAGGUGUGUGUUCCAGGUAAAUCCGGUUCACUUUAACACUGAGGCGUGACGACGAGGCACUACGGUGCUGAAGCAACAAAUGCCCUGCUUCCAGGAAAAGCCUCUAAGCAUCAGGUAACAU
This 929-nucleotide ribosomal RNA is filed under the name Salmonella enterica. Its description in RNAcentral is "partial 23S ribosomal RNA". It matches the Rfam family "Bacterial large subunit ribosomal RNA", at positions 711 to 1637 of the family's 2925-position model. Lineage: Bacteria; Pseudomonadati; Pseudomonadota; Gammaproteobacteria; Enterobacterales; Enterobacteriaceae. The record is from RNAcentral.